This is a long non-coding RNA of Exaiptasia diaphana, 263 nucleotides long. RefSeq lists it as uncharacterized. NCBI's taxonomy places the organism in Eukaryota, Metazoa, Cnidaria, Anthozoa, Actiniaria, Aiptasiidae. The transcript has 3 exons. The record is from RefSeq and is a predicted model, not a curated record.
UGUUUGGUUUAAGAUUGUGGCGUUCACUAACUGCCUUCAUUAUCUCGGGGUCUGGAGUGAGUAUCUUACGAAGUUUCUGAAAAGAGAAACACGCCAUCUGAAGACUUCUUACCAAUGUGAAUAAUGGUGAUAUGUAUUUCCAGCAAACCAGGGUCGAUAGUAAUUUACCUGGCUGUCAAGUCCUAGCGUUAUCAGCAUAAAGAAGAACAGUAUGGCCCACAGUGUCGACACAGGCAUCUGAGAGAUGGCUUCUGGGUAGAUAA